Molecule: ribosomal RNA, 497 nt
Filed under: uncultured bacterium
Lineage: Bacteria
Description: partial 16S ribosomal RNA
Rfam family: Bacterial small subunit ribosomal RNA
Source: RNAcentral
GAUGAACGCUGGCGGCGUGCCUAAUACAUGCAAGUCGAGCGAACAGAUGAGGAGCUUGCUCCUCUGACGUUAGCGGCGGACGGGUGAGUAACACGUGGAUAACCUACCUAUAAGACUGGGAUAACUUCGGGAAACCGGAGCUAAUACCGGAUAAUAUAUUGAACCGCAUGGUUCAAUAGUGAAAGACGGUUUUGCUGUCACUUAUAGAUGGAUCCGCGCCGCAUUAGCUAGUUGGUAAGGUAACGGCUUACCAAGGCAACGAUGCGUAGCCGACCUGAGAGGGUGAUCGGCCACCCUGGAACUGGGACACGGUCCAGACUCCUACGGGAGGCAGCAGUAGGGAAUCUUCCGCAAUGGGCGCAGGCCUGACGGAGCAACGCCGCGUGAGUGAUGAAGGUCUUCGGAUCGUAAAACUCUGUUAUUAGGGAAGAACAAAUGUGUAAGUAACUAUGCACGUCUUGACGGUACCUAAUCAGAAAGCCACGGCUAACUACGUG